UGCUUAUACAUGCAAGUCGAACGGUCCUCGCAAGAGGAUAGUGGCGAACGGGUGAGUAACGCGUUGGUGACCUGCCCCGGAGCGGGGGAUAACAGUUCGAAAGGACUGCUAAUACCCCAUAAACUAGAGGGAACUAGAACCCCUUUAGGAAAGGCGAAAGCCACUCUGGGAGGGGCCUGCGUCCCAUCAGCUAGUUGGUAAGGUAAAGGCUUACCAAGGCGAUGACGGGUAGGGGACCUGAGAGGGUGACCCCCCACAAUGGAACUGAAACACGGUCCAUACACCUACGGGUGGCAGCAGUAGGGAAUAUUGGUUAAUGGGCGAAAGCCUGACCCAGCAACGCCGCGUGUGCGAUGAAGGCCUUCGGGUCGUAAAGCACUUUUUAGUGGGAUGAGGAAGGACAGUACCACUAGAAUAAGUCUCGGCUAACUACGUGCCAGCAGCCGCGGUAACACGUAGGAGACAAGCGUUAUCCGGAUUUACUGGGUGUAAAGCGCGUGUAGGCGGCUCUGUAAGUUGGAUGUGAAAGCUCCUGGCUUAACUGGGAGAGGUUGUUCAAGACUGCAGGGCUUGAGGGUAACAGAGGGGAGUGGAAUUCCGAGUGUAGCGGUAAAAUGCAUAGAUAUUCGGAAGAACACCAGUGGCGAAAGCGGCUCUCUGGGUUACAUCUGACACUCAGACGCGAAAGCUAGGGGAGCAAACGGGAUUAGAGACCCCGGUAGUCCUAGCCGUAAACGAUGUGAACUUGGCGUUGGUGGGUUUAAAUCCGUCAGUGCCGAAGCAAACGCGAUAAGUUCACCACCUGGGGACUACGGCCGCAAGGUUAAAACUCAAAGGAAUUGACGGGGGCCCGCACAAGCAGCGGAGCGUGUGGUUUAUUUCGAUGUUACACGAAGAACCUUACCAGGGUUUGACAUGUGAGUGGUAGAGAAGCGAAAGCGGAUCGACCCUUCGGGGAGCUUGCACAGGUGCUGCAUGGCUGUCGUCAGCUCGUGUCGUGAG
Molecule: ribosomal RNA, 1002 nt
Filed under: uncultured Pseudomonas sp.
Lineage: Bacteria; Pseudomonadati; Pseudomonadota; Gammaproteobacteria; Pseudomonadales; Pseudomonadaceae
Description: bacterial SSU rRNA
Rfam family: Bacterial small subunit ribosomal RNA
Source: RNAcentral